This is a non-coding RNA of Drosophila melanogaster (fruit fly), 588 nucleotides long. The record is from Ensembl. NCBI's taxonomy places the organism in Eukaryota, Metazoa, Arthropoda, Insecta, Diptera, Drosophilidae.
UUUUUGGCCCAGUUUUAGGCCACAAUGCUGCCCCAAUCGAGCCAUGUUGGCCAUACAAUUUCCCAGCCUUUGCCACAUAAAUUCGCACACGAAAGAGUCUGACAAGGCUGUGCUAUUUAUGGAGCAUUUCCUGUUCAAGCAAAAAGGCACAAAAUGCCCAACUCAGCUGCUUUUAGCACUGGUGGUUGGAAGUGAAUAAAGUACACUAACACACACACAAGCACACACAGAGGGGCAUAAAUCCAAAAUUGUCUUUUGUCGCAUAAAUAUUUUACUUUGGGCAUUUGGAGCGUCCUGGCGACCAGAGAAGCAGAAGCAAGGACAUGGACAAUAGGCCAAGCUGGAAUAGGACAUGAAACGACAUUAUUUCUUAUUAUUAGAACAGCGCAAAUAAAUGAGACUCGGAAGGCGGGUGGCGGACGGAUUUCCCCACGAUGGCACUUUGUUUGUCCUGCCAGCACCGCAAUUCCCACAUGUCUGUCUUCAUAAAUGCUUUAUCUGCGGCUGGCACACACACACUCUGGGUGGCUCAGUGUGUUGGCUUUUGUAAUUAUGUGCAUAUAAUAAAGUUGACCUAAAUAAAAAUAA